AGAGUUUGAUCCUGGCUCAGGAUGAACGCUGACAGAAUGCUUAACACAUGCAAGUCGACUGGAAUUCUUCUUCGGAAGAUAGUACGGUGGCGGACGGGUGAGUAACGCGUAAAGAAUUUGCCCUUCAGACUGGGACAACUAACCGAAAGGUUAGCUAAUACCGGAUAUUAUGAGACCUCGGCAUCGAGGACUUAUGAAAGCUAUAUGCGCUGGAGGAGAACUUUGCGUCCCAUUAGGUAGUUGGUAGGGUAAUGGCCUACCAAGCCAACGAUGGGUAGCCGGCCUGAGAGGGUGAACGGCCACAAGGGGACUGAGACACGGCCCUUACUCCUACGGGAGGCAGCAGUGGGGAAUAUUGGACAAUGGACCAAAAGUCUGAUCCAGCAAUUCUGUGUGCACGAUGAAGGUCUUCGGAUUGUAAAGUGCUUUACAGGUGGGAAGAAGAAAGUGACGGUACCACCAGAAGAAGCGACGCUAAAUA
This 481-nucleotide ribosomal RNA is filed under the name uncultured bacterium. Its description in RNAcentral is "bacterial SSU rRNA". It matches the Rfam family "Bacterial small subunit ribosomal RNA", at positions 8 to 503 of the family's 1533-position model. The record is from RNAcentral.